GAUGAACGCUGGCGGCGUGCCUAACACAUGCAAGUCGAGCGAUUUACUUCGGUAAAGAGCGGCGGACGGGUGAGUAACGCGUGGGUAACCUGCCCUGUACACACGGAUAACAUACCGAAAGGUAUGCUAAUACGAGAUAAUAUGCUUUUAUCGCAUGGUAGAAGUAUCAAAGCUUUUGCGGUACAGGAUGGACCCGCGUCUGAUUAACUAGUUGGUGAGGUAACGGCUCACCAAGGCGACGAUCAGUAGCCGACCUGAGAGGGUGAUCGGCCACAUUGGAACUGAGACACGGUCCAAACUCCUACGGGAGGCAGCAGUGGGGAAUAUUGCACAAUGGGCGAAAGCCUGAUGCAGCAACGCCGCGUGAGCGAUGAAGGCCUUCGGGUCGUAAAGCUCUGUCCUCAAGGAAGAUAAUGACGGUACUUGAGGAGGAAGCCCCGGCUAACUACGUG
RNAcentral lists this ribosomal RNA (452 nucleotides) under uncultured bacterium. RNAcentral's name for it is "partial 16S ribosomal RNA". It matches the Rfam family "Bacterial small subunit ribosomal RNA", at positions 28 to 507 of the family's 1533-position model. The record is from RNAcentral.